CUAAACCUUAACCUUCAAUUUGCCUGUAUUAUGGAAUAGUUGGUGAAUGUAUAUGCCUUUUCUGGGGAUAUUGAUGACUAUUACAAGAUUGGAUCGAUAGAAACCCGUUGUUUCGUUUAUUACACGAACUUGAGCUUCAUCGCAGCUUAAUUCUUUAACGUACACCGAAGUGUGUCAUGAACAGGUAAGCAAACCAUUUGUCCAUGCAUUUAAUCAUCACUUAAGACUUAAAGCGGCGCGAUAUCUAGCUUUGUAUCAAACGCUCAGUGAUUCUCUUGACAACGAAUGAGGUAGGAAAGAAAGAACGAGAAUGACAUGUGUUACUCCGCUUAUGGCAAUGAAACAAAAGUGUGAGUACAGUCGCACGAGAAAUUGUUGUUCGCAUCGCUCUUUUGCCGUGCGCUACGUGCUCACUCGAAAAACUGUGACGUCAGGCCAGCGGUCAAAGAAUUAAGCUGUAUAAUGGGGAUACCAGUAUGAUAAAGCCAAAGCGAAGCAAAGAUCGACCAGAAGAAUUAUACGCACUGUCGAAGCAAUUCCAUCGCGAUCCGCCCACUCGAAUUGAUCGCUCCUGGUAGACGUUUGGCGAGGAGGUGAAAACAUUUCUCGAAUCAGAACCGUUAAAGCUGUUCAAAUGCGAAAUUGUCGAACCGAUGGUCACCUUCGAUACAGACUAUGAGCCCUUUGUGCAAAGCAUUAACAAGAACUACAAACUGACGCUUCCGGAUCUAGCCGCAAGAAAUUACACCAAGACCCAGCCUCUUGUUCACUGCUACGUCUUUUCUUAUCGGAAGAGAAGCAACGAGAGGAGCGACAUCUCGAAAUGGUGAUGAGCCACAGCCCACAGAGCAGUCUUCGGAACGUCGACAAAAAUGUCUGCCAAAAAAACUCUACCUCCUUUUCGAAUCAUGUUUUGCCGUAUUCCACAAUGGACGCGCAAGCAUACGAAAGGAAAUUGCAAACUGGCUCCGGUUAACAGACAGUAGUGGUAGACUUUAUGUGAUGCGUUCCAAGAGUACCACCAACUGGUAUUGGUGGUUGGUACUUGAACUACUUUUUUCCCGAGUUACCCGAAUGAUGCCUUCCAGGGACAUUCGCGUAACUGGGAGUUUCGCACAACUCGAAUGAUAAGUUUUUCAGUUAAAAAAUUAAUGUUAUACAAUUAUUUAUGAGGAAAUGUAACCAUUCGCGUAGAAAAUUUGUUUAGUGUUUAGUGUUCAGUGACUUCUAACGAUUGUUAUAACCGCAAUUCAUUUUACAUUUUUCAAUUGUUGCGUUAAAUUGUAGUGCUAGGAAAAAAGAAUCUCAGAAGAGCUUCGUAUAUUCGAAUCCCAGUUCUGGUUGGGAUUGGAAACUUUGAAACCCAAGCCCAAUGUGGUCUAGCAUUUUUUUCAAGUUUGCAUCGUGGGGGGACGGGGGCGGGGGGGUUAGUUACAGCUGAAAUAAUGGGUCAUUUUGUU
Molecule: long non-coding RNA, 1460 nt
Organism: Anopheles coluzzii
Lineage: Eukaryota; Metazoa; Arthropoda; Insecta; Diptera; Culicidae
Exons: 3
Source: RefSeq, a predicted model, not a curated record